Molecule: long non-coding RNA, 9654 nt
Filed under: Hordeum vulgare
Lineage: Eukaryota; Viridiplantae; Streptophyta; Magnoliopsida; Poales; Poaceae
Description: long non-coding RNA (HVUL_LNC000817)
Source: RNAcentral
UAGGGAUACAAACUCUCUCAAUUCCCGAGCAGCGCCGCACCCACCUACCUCUCCUCGUUGUGCCAAACCAGCCAACCACCACAGCCAAAGCCCUGCUCGAUCUCGACCAUCGGAUCCCAGAUCGGACGUCCCAGGGAGCCUCCCGAGACCUCCCACAGCGCUCGGUCCAGAUUGGAUCGAGGCAACUGCCUCCCAUCCCUUGCGCCCUGCACGCCGCCGCAUCGUUCGGCCGUGCUGACAGACAACUCUCCUCGAGCUUCAGCCUACCAGAUCAAGCGAGCAAGGAGAGCGCUCGUGAUUGCCGUCCCGUCCUAGCAGAUAGCAAGGUGAGUAGCGUUCCCUACCUAAUAGCACUCACCCGCCAUGACUCUAUGGCUGCAGUAGUCGCUGCUUCCCUUGCCAACCUCGCCGUUGUACAAGCCCAACCACAGACUUGGCUAUCUACAUUCUUUGCUCGUAUUUCUUCAGAUUUGCAUUACAUAUAGGUUCAUGUUGGGUAAAGCCCCAUUUGCAUCACAAGUUUGAUCUUAGCAUAGUGGUUGGCACCCCUUGUGUUUUACCUGGAGACCAGGGAUCAAAUCCCUCGAGGCACAUUUUUUUUUCUUUUUAGUGUUUUUUUGCUUCUUCAGCUUGUCACGUCAUGCGGUUAUGUAAUAUAGCAUGGGAUGCCUCUUCCUCUAUUAAUACUCAGCCACACAACCGGUUGAACAAGUGCAUCAACAAAGGGGGUCAUCUGGGCUUGAAUCCAGGGAUGCCCCAAUUUUUUGUUGCUGUCCCAUGUUCAUUUCGCACGCUCACCCUCACACCCAGUUGGUCGAACCCUCUGGGCCGCUGCAAUUCGGCCUAUGUUUUUUUUCCUCCUACGAUUUCGCCCGUGGACCGAAUGCAUUCUUGUAUGAUAUGCGAUGUUGUCUGCUUCAUAGAUGCCAUGUUAGUUGCAGGUACCCCAUAUUCAUGCCUCCGGCCAUGGGAACAUGGUAACCGGGAUCACCCCAUUAUUCUUUGGCAUGACACACUCACAAUUCGUCGGCACCGGUAUCUCGUCGAGUUAUCGGAACCGGAACGUUGUUAUGGCUGUCAAUUGCAUGCAUGUUGCAUUAAUGGCAUAAUAUCUUGUGUUGCACGUAUGUGUUAAACCAUAACUCUGUUGGAGAUGAGCUAUAUAUGUAACCGACCAGAAUGACGUGUAGAAUCACAUGAUGCACGUAUCUGUUAACAACAUUUUAAUAUUGCCGUGUACCUAAACGUGAAUGAACUAAAUAAUUCGUAUGUGGAGUUUCAUCAAUAUGCAAUCCAUUGCAUGUUGAGCUUCACUUAAUGUGUAGUGUUUGAUUGUUGUGAAAUGCCAUGCCAUGCAUGUCAUAAUUAAACGAUCAUGCAUCGUAUGUGUUGUGCAUCAUGUCUUGCAUAUGUUGUGGUGUCAUCAUGUGUUGAUUGUUGUUCCAGUUUGUUUCUUCUCGAUAGAGUUCUGAAACACUUCAGAGUGUGAGGAUCCGUUUGACUACAUCGGUUUGUCUGCUUCACGGAUUCGUUCUUCUUCCAAGCGGGAUCUCAUGCAAGAUGAUCAUUUCCCUAGAUACCAUUACUAACAUUGCGAUGCUAGUUGUCUCAUUUCUUUUGCUAUGUCUCGCUGCCUACCACUUAUUUAAUAAGCCUCUCAACAUUGCCAUGAAAACCUCUAACCUUUCCACAACCGAGCAAACCGCUGUUUGGCUAUGUUACCGCUUCCUCAACCUUCUGUUAGCGUUGCUAGUUGCCAGUGUAGUUGGUUCCAUGUGCCAACAUGGGUCCUUGAUAUAUCACCUUAUAAUUAUUAUCUAAUUUAAUGCACCUAUAUAAUUUGUAAAUGGUGGAAGGCCUGGCCUUCUAGCCUGGUGUUUUGUUGAGCGCUCCUAACACGCUCGGGGUUGUUAUGGGGACUCCCUUGAUAAUUCGUCUUAGUUUAAAACUGGUCUGGCAAGGCCCAACUUUGGUACUACAUUUGCCUAAUAACUAAUGAAACACAUAGGGAGUAAUUAACCCGAGGAUACUUAAUCAACCCCGGGACCACUGCUCCUCAUGAUUGUUGGUCCAACCCAGAGCGCUGUGCGGGGCCAACCCAGGGCAACUUGGGCGAUCUCUAUCAGCCCCCGUGCAUGUAGCUUAUCCGUUGUGUCUUGAGAACGAGAUACGUAGCUCCUAUUUGGUUCGCCGACACGUUGGACAACCACUAUAGGAAUCAACUUCUUUGACGUCUGCCAUAACAGACGGCAAAGAGGACUCCACCGACGGCAUUGAUCAAUCUGCACACGGCAAAGAGAAGACCUGUCGGCAAAGAUUCUGCGUCAGCUUACGACGGCAUUGUAGUUUCUUUGCCGUUAGCCUACCCUAAGCGGACGACAAAGCUCUUUGCCGUCAGUGUUAGGCACUGAGCAGUCGACAAAGAAUUUGAGACGGCAGCCGACAGGCGAUGCCUCCGUUAGGGCUAACGGAGGCUUUGCCGUCUGCUUCCCUCCCCCACUUUGCCAUCUGCUUCUAUGGGCCAGCACAGAGUUGGGCCAACACAGGAAUCGGCUUUUUUGUCGUCUGCCUCCCUACCGCUUUGCCAUCAUCCUCCCGAGGCAGCGGACAACAAAGAGCCCAUAUGGCCAGCUGCUGCUGCCCAGGUUGCAUAGGUGGGUGCCACGUGGCCUCUUUGCCGUCUGCUUCCUGAUGGCAAAGGCCUUUGCCAUCAGCUGGCAGACGACAAAGAGCCAAUAUUGUCACAUUUGUGUUUAUUUUUUCUAUUUCACAUCACACACACACACACACACACACCACACACAUAUAUAUAUAUAUAUAUAUAUAAUUCAUAGCACAUAUAUGAUAUAUAGGUCACAACACAUAUCUGAUAUACAUAUAAAGUUCAUCAAUGCCAUUUGUUCAUCAAUGUACAUCCCAUAUAUCGAAAGAACCAACACAUACAAAGUUUCAUCCAUAUAUACAUACAUAUAGUUCCACAUAUAUUGUUCAUCCAUAUAUACAUAUACAUAUAGUUCCACAUUGUUCAUCAACUCAAAUAAAAACUAGAACUAAAGCACUCCAAUGCCAGCUUCCAUACAUGUAGUACAUCCAAUCUGCAAAAUGGGAAUAAAAAAGUUAGAAGAAGAAGAACAACAACAUAUGUAUGACAAAUAAGCUAAAUUGAAGAAUAAAGAGAAGAAGCAAGAAGAUAAGAAGGAGAAGAAAAACAGGAAUAAGGAGAAGGAGGAGGAGGACGAGAAGGAGAAGGAGAAGGAGAAGGAGGAGGAGAAGAGGAGAAGAAGAAGGAGAAGACGAAGGAGAGAAGAAGGAGGAGAAGAAGGAGGGCUCCUUCUCCUGCUUCUCCUCCUUCUCCUUCUUCUCUUCUUCUCCUUCUCCUUCUCUUCUUUUUCUCUUCUUCUUUUUCUUCUUCCUUUUCAUUUCUCCUCUUCUCCUCUUCUUGGAGCUAAAUUAGCUAACUAUGUCUUUUUGGAGCUAAAUGGGCUAAUUAUGUCAUUAUAGAGGAAAACCAGCUAAGUAUAUAAUAUUAAUGAGCUAACCAAGGUUCUUAUGCCAUUUUGAGCUUAUAAUGUCAUUUAGGAGCUUAAUUAGUCAUUUUAAUUAGCUAACCAAGGUUCUUAUGAUGUUUUUAUCUAACUAAGCUAAUUAUGUCAUUUUGGAGGAUAAUUAGCUAAGUAUGUCUUUGUUGGGGAAAAUAAGCUAAAUUGAAGAAGAAAGAGAAUAAGCAAGAAGAGAAGAAGGAGAAGAAAAAGAAGAAGGAGAAGGAGGAGGAGAAGAAGAAGGAGAAGGAGGAGGAGAGAAGAAGGAGGAGAAGAAGGAGAAGGAGGGAGAAGAAGAAGAAGGAGAGAAGAAGGAGAAGAAGGAGGGCUCCUUCUCCUCCUCCUCCUUCUCCUUCUUCUCUUCUUCUUCUCUUCUUCUUCUUCUUCCUUCUUUUCAUUUUUCCUCUUUCUUCUCCUCUUCUUCUUCUCCUCCCCCCUCCUCCUCUUAUCCUCUUCUUCCCCCUCCUAUUCUUCUUCUUCUUCCUCUUAUUCGUAUUUCUAUUUUUCUUUAUCCUCUUCUUCUACUUAUUCUUCUUUUCUUCUUUUUCUCUUCUUCUCCUUCUUAUUUUUUUCUUCUUCUCUUCUUCUCUUAGGCCUUAUUAUGUCAUUUAGGAGAUAACUUAGGUAAGUAUAGGUAAAUUUUUAUUAAAUAGGCCAUUUUGGAGCUAACUAAGCUAAUUAUGUCAUUUUGGAGGAUAAUUAGCUAAGUUGUGAGCUAACCAAGGUUCUUAUGAUGUUUUUACCCUAACUAAGCUAAUUAUGUCAUUUUGGAGGAUAAUUAGCUAAGUAUGUAUUUGUUGGGGGAAACUAAGCUAAAUUGAAGAAGAAAGAGAAGAAGCAAGAAGAGAAGAAGGAGAAAACUCAGACUCAGAGAAUGCCUUCACCUUCUUGUAGGAGGCACUAUGGGCCAUGCAUAAAGGUCGUACAAGUGUGGCAUUUCCGUCUUAUUGUGAUGCGCCUAAAAGAGAGGAACAAAGUAUUAGUAAGGGGCUCAAGCUAGCAGGAAGAAUGAAUUGCAUGAAUCAUGAAGCAAACCACAUACCCAGUUUCGUCCGAGCUGAAGUAAGUUGGCGUUGCCUUGAUGGUGUGGCACACCAACCAUUUGGCUACGCCAAUCCUUCGCAUUGUCGUGGACGGCUCGCCAGUUCCCUGUGCACCACUCAUCCACCAACGCCUCACAAUAAUCCAUCUUAUCUGCACACCAUCUCGGGGCACCUAUAAGUUAUUAGAAAGAAUUUUUAGCGCUACGCCUAUGAAUCAAAUCAAGAAAACUACGUAGAAGGCCUUAAGAAUAGGUAAUUACCUUCAUGUACUGCUCCUUCUUCAGAUACUUUCCGCGACACUCCUUCUUCUGCUUCUUAAUACCACGUGUGGCAUAGUAGUCUCGAAUAGCGUGCGGCCGAGCCUCGUGGCGUAAGUUCUGUAAUAACCGCCUACACUCGGCCUCGAGAACCUUGGCCGCCUCCUCCUCAUAUCGCUCCUCACACCUAUAGAAGGUCUGCAAUCAAAGGAGAUAACACCGAUUAGUACAAUAAUUAGCUAUAUUGUUAAUUUUAGAUUGUGUAAAAGGAUAAUUUACCCAAAAGCUCUUGAUCACCAUCUCGACCCUCGUGUGGCACAAGACACCAUCUAUAAUUUCCUCCCGCGGGGCCUCCGCAGCCUGGUAGUGCUCCGAGGAAAAUCCUAGUGUAGGAACCUGACCCUCACCAGGCAACGCGACAAACCCCGAAUUUUUUUCCGGCAAAGCACAUCAAGGACGUUGUUCGGCUUGUGGACUCCACAGGGGUUGCCGAUCCCCUACAGUAUGAUAAGGUCAAUGCAUUAGAUAUUUCAAGAAACUUGAAGGCAAAAGCUAAAAAAAGAGUAAAUGUACUUACCUAUCCCCUUCAGGCUUAAUCACCGGCCUCAGCUCGCGGGUAGCCGACACGACCGGGAGACGUGUACUACCACGCUUGUACACGGUGCCCAUGUCCACCUGCACGUCUCCCUCACUAUCCGUAAACUCAUCCCCGCCAUCAACAGAACAACCACCCGAACCCUCGGUCCAAUCUGGCACCUCGGUCCGAUCCGGCCAGGAACCCCAUCCGGACCUCUCCACGUCGGCCGAAGCGUGUGUGGCAGGAGUCUCCUGGGAUGUAGCCUCACGAACCGGAGUCUCGUGGGCCGAAGGCACCUCGACCCGAGGUUGAUCCUGGAUUGGAGUCUCAUGGGCCGAAUGCCUGUCCACCCGAUGCUCUUGGACCGGAGUCCCCGUAGCCUCCUCCUCAAACGGGCCCACCAUAGUAGUCCUGUGCUUGGGUGAAUGAGCUGGUGGUGGUGGUGAGGACGGCGCAACAGUCUGCCUACCUCUUCCGCGGCCACCACCUCUCCCUGUAACCUUCCCCUUCUUCCCUACCCGACCAGCACCUCUCCCAGUGGGCAAUGUCACCGACGAACAAGCACCCGCGGGUGGUGUCGUCAGACUGUCUUCCAAGGCUCCAUGGAGAAAUGGGGGUGGAAUGGAAGUAACACCUCUCGUGAGGGCCACCGAAGAAGAACCCGUCGAGCGAUCUGGACCCGCGCCCACCAUCUUUCAACACUUGGUGACCUGCCAUGAUAAAGAUUAAGAGAAAUUAGUACAACAUAAAAAAAUUGAAUAACUGACAUGAAUAAUAAUAUGUACAUAUAUAAUUUAAGUUGUGAAUCUUACAAACUAAUAAUCAUUAUCACCAAAAUCUGCUAAGAAACUCAAAGUCCAAUCUAGUCAUUUUUAGCUCAUCCUAAUACAUAUUUGCACUUCUAAGGCAGCUCAGCCCCCCUCCAUUUUUUAGCUCAUCCUAAUACAUAUUUGCACUUCUAAGGCAGCUCAACCCCCCUCCAUUUUUUAGCUCAUCCUAAGACACAUUUGCACUUCUAAGGCAAGUCAGCCCCCCUCCGUUAUAUACACACACACACACACACACACACACACACACAUACAUGCUACCCUUUUGUAUUUGGCUGUCACCAACUGCCUUUCUCAUGAUACCUCAAAUUACUUGCUUUCUAGGACUCAAUCCACUUUCUCGAGAACAUGAUAUUUUCACUGCAAUAUAUUUCAAGAUAUUUUAUUUAGUUUGGUGAACUAAAUAUCUACUAAGAAUUUCAAAGAGAAAAUUGCACCAAAACUACAAAAUCACUGGCUUUUAAUGAAUAAUCUAGCCUAUUGGGAGUAAUCUCAAAUGUUUCUAGCUGACUAAUAGCAAUCACUCCCAUAAAUAUGAUUUGUGUGGGACCGCUAUUGAAAUAGCCAUUAGUAUGAAUUUUAUAGCAAGGUCUUCGAACACAGAUGGCAAUUUUGUCGUGUUUACUUGAAGAAAUUGUCAUGUUCGUGCAAAACAUUGGCAAAUCCCAUCCUUCACACAAACCAUUCACUGAAUUGCAUUACUUUUCAUUUGUGGUGUGUAUGAACAAUGAACAUUUGCCAAGAUUUUCCUAAUCGUUAGGCUAUGUGCUAGCACACAACCACCAUUCCUUACCUCCAAACGACUCCACAGAUUAUAUAUAUAUAUAUAUAUACAUACAUACAUACAUACAUACAUACAUACAUACAUACAUACAUACAUACAUAAUACCAAAUCUCAACAAAAUAUAUAUACCGCAAGCAAUUCUAAGAACAUUUUGAGUGUCAUUUUCGGAAUGUUGGAAUGAAAAUUUCUUUAUAGAUCCAUAUAUAGGGGUGGGGGUGUGGGGGCUCACCCGCAGGGGCUGCUAUGGCAUCGUGGGCGGCGGGGCGGCGCUGGGGGUGUUGGGGUUGUGGGGCGGCGCCAGGGGCGAUGGGGCGGCGGUGCCGGGGGGCUGUGGGGCACCAGGGCGGCGCCGGGGGCAGUGGGGCGGCGGCGGCGACGACGGGGCUGUGGGGCACCGGGGCGGCGCCGGGGGCGUUGCAGGCGGCGGCACGACGGUGGUGGCGGCGGUGGGCGUCACGGGAGUGGAAGAGAAGAAGAGAAGAAGAGAGUGAGAGAGAGAGAGGGCCGGGGUGGGGGUGAGACGACCGUUACCAAAUACCAACGCUUUGCCGUCUGCUGGCGGAGGGCAAAGGGUCUAGACUCUUUGCCGUCUUCCUCCGGACUCUUUGCCGUUCGCGAGCAGACGACAAAGAAGGGACUGUAGUUUGACCUAAUGUUCACUCGGUCAGGUGGGCCCAGUCCAAAGCUUUGCCAUCUGCUAUCCUAAUCUUUACCGUCAGCCGCUGACGGCAAAGAAGUGACUGAUGGAAAAUACAUUCUAUGCCAUCAACUUGUUCUUUGCCGUCAGCUUUGUGGCAGCGGACGGCAAAGACACUCUUUGCCGUCACCUAGCGGACGACAAAGAUAUAGCAGACGACAAAAAACUAAAUUCCAGUAGUGAGCCUUGCUGGACUUGUUUUACCUUCUACAAAAUAUCUUGUGCAUCGGGAUUCCGGUGAUGCUUUGGGAUAUCUCAGAGUUGAGGUUUUCCACUAAGGAAUCGAGGAGGUCACGAGUUUCAGGAUCGAGGCUUUCUAUGCAGCUUGUGGUAAUUUGUGAUGGACUAGUUGGAGCACCCCUACAGGGUUAAAUCUUUCGAAAAGUCGUGCCCGCUGUUUUGUGGAAAACUUGGAAACUUUGUUUAACAUCUGGUUCUAGAUAACUUAAAGUAAACUUAAUCAAAAACUUGCCAACUGAGGACACGGUGGGGUUAUGUUUAACAUAAGUAGGUGUUCAGGAUCAAUCAUUCUAUCAUCAUUAGUUCCCAUACGGCUAUGCGUAAAUCGCCCCCCUCUUAUUCGAUCAUCUUUUGGCUAUGUUACCGCUUUCUCAAGGUUUGAUAGUGUUGCUAGUUGCAGGUGUAGUUGCUUCCAUGUGGAUGGGUCCUUGAUAUAUCAUCUUAUAAUUGCUAUCUAAUUUAAUGCACCUAUACACUUGGUAAAUGGUGGAAGGCCUGGCCUCCUAGCCUGGUGUUUUGUUCCAUCUUUUCCGCCCUAGUUUCAGCUACCGGUGUUAUAUUCCAUAAUUGAGCGCUCCUAAUACACUUGGGGUUGUUAUGGGGACCUCCUUGAUAAUUUGCCUUAGUUCAAAACUGGUCUCACAAGGCCCAACUUUGGUACUACAUUUGCCUAAUAAAUAAUGAACCACAUAGGGAGUAAUUAACCCGAGGAUACUUAAUCAACCCCCGGGCCAAUGCUCCUCAUGAGUGUUGGUCUAACCCAGAGCACUAUGCGGGGCCAACCCCGAGCAACUUCGGUGAUCUCUAUAAGCCCCCCCCGGUGCGCGUAGCUUAUCGAUCGUGUCCUGAGAACGAGAUACGCGACUCCUAUCGGGUUCGUCGACACGUUGGGUGGCCUUGCUGGACUUGUUUCACAUUUUAUAAAAUAUCGCGUGCAUCAGGAUUCCUGUGAAGCUUUGGGCUAUCACACAGUUUAGGUUUUCCACUAAGGAAUCUGAGGAGAUCACGAGUUUCGCGAUUGAGGCUUUCUAUGCAGCUUGUGGUAGUUUGUGAUGCACUAGUUGGAGUAGCCCUGCAGGGUUAAAUCUUUCGGAAAGCCGUGCCCGCGGUUAUGUGGAAAACUUGGAAACUUUGUUUAACAUCCGGUUCUAGAUAACUUAAAGUAAACUUAAUUAAAAACUUGCCAACUGAGGACACAAUGGUGUUAUGUUUGACAUAAGUAGGUGUUCAAGAUCAUUCAUUCAAUCAUCAUUAGUCCCCGUGCGGUUAUGCGUAGAUCGCCCCCCCUCUUAUUCUUGUACUCGUAAGUUAGCUACUCAAACAAAUUCUUAGUCGCUUGCUGCGGCCUCACCAUUUAACCAUAGCUCACCCAAUAAGCUUUUCUAGUCUUGAUACAUUUGGAAAUGACAUUGUUGAGUUCCUGUGGCUCACAAAUAACUACAACAACAGUUGCAGGUACAGGUAAAGAGUUACGUUGAUGUGAGCACGAUGAUUGUUCUAUUUGGAGUUUCUUCUUCUUCUUCUUCAUCGAUCUAGGAUGAGUUCGAGGCCAACAGCCUGGGAUAGCAAGGAUGGACAUCGUUCUUUUAUCGUUUGUCUUCGUCCGUAGUCGGACCAUGCUCUUCUACAUGGUGAUUGAAUAUGUUAUUGUAUUGAUGUGAACUUGUUUUAGCUUGUGGCGAGUGUACGC